GACGAACGCUGGCGGCGUGCUUAACACAUGCAAGUCGAACGGAAAGGCCCUGCUUUUGUGGGGUGCUCGAGUGGCGAACGGGUGAGUAACACGUGAGUAACCUGCCCUUGACUUUGGGAUAACUUCAGGAAACUGGGGCUAAUACCGGAUAGGAGCUCCUGCUGCAUGGUGGGGGUUGGAAAGUUUCGGCGGUUGGGGAUGGACUCGCGGCUUAUCAGCUUGUUGGUGGGGUAGUGGCUUACCAAGGCUUUGACGGGUAGCCGGCCUGAGAGGGUGACCGGGCACAAUUGGACUGUGAGACGGCCCAGAGUCCCACGGGGGGGAGCGGGGGGGAAUAUUGUACAAAGGGGGGAAGCCUGAUGCAGCAACGCCGCGGGGGGGAGGACGGGCCUUGGGGGUUAAAACGCGUUUGCCUGUGACGAAGGGGGUGGGAAGGGAAUGGGGAAAGAAGAACCGGGGAAAUACGUG
Molecule: ribosomal RNA, 468 nt
Filed under: uncultured bacterium
Lineage: Bacteria
Description: partial 16S ribosomal RNA
Rfam family: Bacterial small subunit ribosomal RNA
Source: RNAcentral